UGGGGAAUUUUGGACAAUGGGGGAAACCCUGAUCCAGCCAUCCCGCGUGUGCGAUGAAGGCCUUCGGGUUGUAAAGCACUUUUGGCAGGAAAGAAACGUCAUGGGUUAAUACCCCGUGAAACUGACGGUACCUGCAGAAUAAGCACCGGCUAACUACGUGCCAGCAGCCGCGGUAAUACGUAGGGUGCAAGCGUUAAUCGGAAUUACUGGGCGUAAAGCGUGCGCAGGCGGUUCGGAAAGAAAGAUGUGAAAUCCCAGAGCUCAACUUUGGAACUGCAUUUUUAACUACCGGGCUAGGGUGUGUCAGAGGGAGGUGGAAUUCCGCGUGUAGCAGUGAAAUGCGUAGAUAUGCGGAGGAACACCGAUGGCGAAGGCAACCUCCUGGGAUAACACUGACACUCAUGCACGAAAGCGUGGGGAGCAAACAGG
This 429-nucleotide ribosomal RNA is filed under the name Acidobacteriota bacterium. RNAcentral describes it as "Acidobacteria bacterium partial 16S ribosomal RNA". It matches the Rfam family "Bacterial small subunit ribosomal RNA", at positions 355 to 776 of the family's 1533-position model. Lineage: Bacteria; Pseudomonadati; Acidobacteriota. The record is from RNAcentral.